CUCUUAUUCAAGAAACAGUGAUGGCGGGAAUAUAAUUUUCGAUAGUCGGGUUCAUGUAUUUUGUCUCAUUUACUAUUUUUUUUUACUGCACACACAAAGGUCACACGUGCUGUCGUCAUGGAUCCAGCUGCUGUGGAGUACACCGUAGGAGGUGUGAGGAUCCAGUUCCCCUGCAAGGCCUAUCCCUCCCAGCUGGCCAUGAUGAACUCAAUUGUUCGGGGCUUGAACCAUGAACAGCACUGUCUGCUGGAGAGCCCCACAGGCAGUGGGAAGAGUCUGGCUUUGCUGUGCUCGGUGUUGGCCUGGCAGCAGGCACAGUACGGAAAAGCAGAGCAGGAGUGGAACCCAUCUGACGAGUGCAAGAAACCAAACCUAACCACACCCUGCCAGUGCAUCUGCCAUGCCCCCGGAAGGGGUGGUCUCCGCGGGCCUUCUGCAAAUGGCGGGUCAGCUCCGCCUGUCGUGGACCUCACCAGUGAAGGUGCAGAGGUCACAACCCAGUGUGCCUCCCCUCCUCCCGCUAAAGAGGACUACACGCCCAGACGCAGCACUCUGGCCUCGCGGCUGUCGGAGAAGCUACAGGCUUCCCUCAGCGUGGACACGGACGAUGACUUUCAGACCGACAGGAAGCGAAUCCGCCCCCCAGCCACAGAUCAGAAGGGGAGGAAACGGAGGUGUUUGGAGCAGGGCGUGAUCUUCAUUGAUGAUGAUUCGGAGUGUGAGAGUCGGCUUGGUGCGGCCCACUCUGGCUGUAAUGAGCGUCCGCCACAGACCCCGGGCCCCUGCCCCCUGUGCCACUGUGGCAGUACUAAGGCUGCUAAGGAGAAGGACAGCGCCUCUGCUGGCGGGGGGAGGAAGGCCGUGCCCAAGAUCUACUUCGGCACCCGCACCCACAAGCAGAUCAUGCAGAUCGCGCGUGAGCUCAAGCGCACCUUCUACUCGGGCACGCCUAUGUCCAUCCUGUCCAGCCGCGACCACACCUGUGUGCACCCAGAGGUCGUGCCUCAUUCCAACCGCAACGAGCGCUGUAAGGAGCUGCUGGAGGGCAAGAACGACCGGUCGUGCCGCUACUACCACGGUGUGAACCGGAUGCGGGACCAGAACACGCUGCAGCAGGUACACGGCCUGUACCGGGCCUGGGACAUCGAGGAGCUGGUGGCCCUGGGCGGCCGGCUGCGCUCCUGCCCCUACUACGCGGCCCGGGAGCUUGCGCAGGAGGCCCACAUCGUCUUCUGCCCCUACAACUACUUGCUGGACCCGCUCAUCCGUGAGAGUAUGGAGAUCAACCUGAAGGGUCAGGUGGUUGUGCUGGAUGAGGCGCAUAACAUAGAGGACUGCGCCCGGGAGAGCACCAGCUACACCCUGAACCAGGCCGCGCUGCUGCUGGCGCGUGAGGAGAUCGACGGCAUGGUGAACCACAACAUCCGCCGGAGCCAGCACGAGCCACUCAGGGCCUUCUGCUGCAGCCUGCUCAACUGGAUACAGGAGAGCUGUGGCUCUCUGUCGGAGCGGGAGUUCGAGGUUUCCUGCCGGGUGUGGACGGGCACGGAGAUGUUGGCCGUGUUCCGGGGUCUCGGCAUCACUGCCGACACCUUCUCCUUGCUGCAGAAAAACCUCGUGGCUGUGCUGGAGAAGGAGGAGCGUGUGGGCCUGGUCAAUGGCCGGGAGGAUGUGGUGGAGGUGCCUACCAUCAGCUCAGCCACGCAGAUUGUGCUCAAGGGCCUCUUUAUGGUUCUGGAGUUCCUCUUCCGACAGAACUGCAGGUUUGCGGAGGAUUAUCGUGUGGCCCUGCAGCAGACCUACACUUGGGCCUCGCAAGCUCACGUUCCCGACGAGCCUGACGAACACGGCUUCUUCGCACGGCCACGCCGGCGCCGCCAGGCCCUGGUCCGUCGCACCAAGACCCCGGUGCUCACACUCAACUUCUGGUGCCUGAACCCAGCCGUUGCCUUCUCUGACCUCAGCGACUCGGUGCGCACCAUCGUCCUGACCUCCGGCACGCUCUCGCCCAUGGGCUCCUUCUCCUCGGAACUGGGAGUCAGCUUUUCCAUCCGGCUGGAGGCCAGCCAUGUCAUCAGCAAGUCCCAGGUCUGGGUGGGGACGCUGGGGUCUGGCCCCCAGGGGCGCAAGCUGUGUGCCACGUUCCAGCACGCCGAGACCUUCGCCUUCCAGGACGAGGUGGGCACCCUCCUGCUGAAGGUGUGUCACACGGUCAGCCGGGGUGUGCUCUGCUUCCUGCCGUCCUACAAGAUGCUGGACAAGCUACGAGAACGCUGGACCAACACAGGCCUUUGGCAGCAGAUCGAGCUCCAGAAGACCGUCGUCACGGAGCCCAGAGGCGGCAGCAAGGGAGAAUUUGAUGAGCUCCUGCAGAGCUACUACGACGCCAUCAAGCACCCUGGGGAUAAAGACGGGGCGUUGCUGAUCGCCGUCUGUCGGGGCAAGGUGAGCGAGGGUCUGGACUUCACCGACGACAACGCCCGGGCCGUGGUCACCAUCGGGAUCCCCUUCCCCAACAUUAAGGACCUCCAGGUGGAGCUGAAGAUGAAGUACAACGACCAGCACUGCCAGAGCCGUGGCCUCCUGUCUGGUCGCCGCUGGUACGAGAUCCAGGCCUACCGUGCCCUCAACCAGGCCCUGGGCAGAUGCAUCCGACACAAGAAUGACUGGGGGGCUCUCAUCCUAGUGGAUGAUCGCUUCAAAUGUAACCCCAACAAGUACAUCACUGGCCUCUCAAAGUGGGUCCGGCAGCUGGUGCAGCAUCACGACACCUUCAACGAGGCCAUGCAGUCUCUGGUCAGUUUCUCCCAGAGCCAAAAGGGGGUGGCAGCGAGCCACGCAGCCCCCAGCGGGCCAGUGGGGCAGACGGAGCUGCCUCCCGGCCCCCUGUCCCCCUCUGGUGUCUCGUCUCCGCUCUGUAUCGGACUCCCGCCCCCCUCUGCCUCAGACGGCUCCCCACUGCCCCUUCACCUGGGGGCCUCGUGUGCAGCUACAGUCUCAGAAACGGUCAAGGAACCCAAUGGACCUCCAGAUGAUCAGAGGCCAGUGGGAAGCCAGCCACACCCGUCGUCAGACCCCCGGCCACGUGCGUGUGGAGAGCCCAGGCUUCCAGGCCGCCCGCUGCCCAUACACCCCUUCUUUGCCUCCACACCGGUGUCCAGCCGGCUCAGGACACCCAUCUUUCAGGCCACGACCUCUGGCCCUGGGGGCUGGCUAGGUGACGACCUGGGUACCCAGACCAUGAGCGCCAGUAAGGAGCCCCCACGGGGAUUGCGGAGUCCUCCCCAUGCUGGUGGUGACACUGGGGGACAGGAUGUGGGGCUGGUAGAACACCACUCCCCGGUGGUCACAUCCAUCUCUGAUGCAACACUAGAACCUAGUGCAGUGACCCCCCCACUGGAUGCGGAGGCUGAACAGGAGGAUGAGGAGGACCUGAAGAUCUUCUUCACCCCCGAGCUGUUUGAUGCAGAUGAUGACAGUGGUGAUGAAGAAGCAGCAGCAGCAUCCCCAGCAAGUGCUGUAUUUGCCACAGAACUCAACCCUGAAGAUGAACCUCCUGCUGUAAACGGAGAACCUGGAAGCGCGUUGGAGACGCUGUCUGGGACUGACCAGGCUAAUGGACUAACGGUCACUCCCUCUGACCGCCAGGAGGGCGGCGCUCACUCGCUGCCCCAGACAGCAGUGCAGACUGACCACAUGUGUACCGACAGGGCAGUACAGGAGGCUGAGGACUGCAGGAUAUCAAGUAUCACUCCUGAAUGCCAGGAGGGCGGCGCUCACUCGCUCCCCCAAACAGUAAUGCAGACUGACCGUAUGUGUACAGACAGGGCAGAGCAGAUGGUGAAGGGCCUGUGGCAGGGCAGUCAGAGCAGGGGCAGGACACACAGGCUUUCCAGGACUAGGCAGAAGGACAGGCUUUCAGCUACAGGUCGGGUUUCCCGGUCCAGGGAGGGAGGCAAUGCCAGGCAUGUCCCAGGACACGCUAAGGGAAGCCUGCUGUGGGACUGGCCGGUGCAGGCAUGUCCGCGAUCCCCCUUCAGGCUGCUGGACCGUCUGCGUGGCAACGCUCGACCCGGAGAUGCAAACGGGGCAGCCACGGGAGCUCACCGGGGGGCGUCCGAUGCUACGGAAGUGAAAGAGAGAGAGGAGACUGCUGGGCGGCACGGGGAGAGCGGGGCAGUCAGCUUGGGCACGCGGCUUGGGGUCGCAGAAGGUGUAGAGCAAGGCAUCAGAGUGCGGCGUUCACACAGACGGAGGAGUAGGCGCAUAUCCGGAAAGGCCCGGAAUCUCGUGGUGCCCCAGGCUUCCCAGCAAAAGCAGAUAACCCAGAUCCCAGCCACCCAUCUGCCCUUCAUGAACUGAGUCCAAUGCGACUGUGAGCUCCUACUGUCCAACGAAGCAGGCCUGCAGAUAGGCCUGCACGUCCACAGCGUUUCCCGUGGACCCAGAACCGGAUGCUGCAGUGUGGCUCUUGGCCUGAACCGGGACCUCAGCUGCUGUAUUGUCUUGGGCGCCGAGGUUCUGCACCUUCAGGACCUGUCUGCCAUCAAGCCAGACAUCUCUUUCCCUGUCGUCUCACUCCGUCGGCCGCGGCGCUUCGCAUGGGCCCCAGCCGCAUGAUGGGAGUCAAAGCCACUGGACGCAUUGACCUGGAGAGCAGUCGUGUGGGGGUGCAGACUGGGCGCCAUCGCUGCUCCCAUCUCUUUAGUGGUUCUGGAAGCAGCUGCGGGGGUGGGGGGUCAAGGAAUAUCUGCAAAUUUGGCACUUUCUUUUGCCACCUGGGGGAGGCUCACCUCUAUGCUUAGGCAUCGUCAUCAAGAAUUAUUAGUGCUAGAAAAUGAGGUAAUGCGUCAUGGUUAUUAUGGUUAAUAUGGCUACUUGAAGCGCUGUAUUGAAACACCACCAGCUAAUGUUGCUACUUUGUGGAAUUAGCAUAUUAGCGUGACAUGUACACAAUC
Non-coding RNA from Paramormyrops kingsleyae, 4958 nucleotides. NCBI's taxonomy places the organism in Eukaryota, Metazoa, Chordata, Actinopteri, Osteoglossiformes, Mormyridae. The record is from RefSeq and is a predicted model, not a curated record.